This 459-nucleotide ribosomal RNA is filed under the name uncultured bacterium. Its description in RNAcentral is "partial 16S ribosomal RNA". It matches the Rfam family "Bacterial small subunit ribosomal RNA", at positions 338 to 795 of the family's 1533-position model. The record is from RNAcentral.
CCUACGGGUGGCAGCAGUGAGGAAUAUUGGUCAAUGGGCGGGAGCCUGAACCAGCCAAGUCGCGUGAAGGAAGAAGGUACUUAGUAUUGUACACUUCUUUUGUCGGGGAACAAAGGCGGAGACGCGUCUCCGGUUUAGUGUACCCGAAGAAAAAGCAUCGGCUAACUCCGUGCCAACAGCCGCGGUAAUACGGAGGAUGCGAGCGUUGUCCGGAUUUAUUGGGUUUAAGGGGUGCGCAGGCGGGGGAUAAAGUCUGCGGUAAAAUGUCGGGGCUCAACCCCGGCCGGACGUUGAAACUGGUUUUCUAGAGUUGGAGGGAGGUAUGCGGAAGUCGUGGUGUAGCGGUGAAAUGCAUAGAUAUCACGAAGAACUCCGAUUGCGAAGGCAGCAUACCGGCUCCAUACUGACGCUGAGGCACGAAAGCGUGGGGAUCGAACAGGAUUAGAUACCCUUGUAGUC